GGCAUUCCCCCCUUCUAGGCCUUUGGUGGACAGGGCUGGCCACCACAUUGCUCCUUUCUCCUGAAUCCAGAGGUGGCCUUGGGCACUCAUUGCUACAAGAGCAACAGAUACUUACCAGCACCCAGUCUGAGUGAGACACUCAAGCCUCUUUAUGGAUUAACAAGAAGAUUCUAGAAUGAGAAAACUGAGGCCCGGAGGAGUUAAGAAGAGGCCAAGUUCACAGAGCUAGGAAGUGGGGAGGAGAGAAUGUGACGUGGCUCUGGCUAACUCCAGGGCUUCUGGGUUUAACUGGAUGAUAACACAACACAGGAUGAUAAGGUCAUG
This 324-nucleotide long non-coding RNA is filed under the name Mustela putorius furo (domestic ferret). Its description in RNAcentral is "lncRNA (ENSMPUG00000031990.1)". Lineage: Eukaryota; Metazoa; Chordata; Mammalia; Carnivora; Mustelidae. The record is from RNAcentral.